RNAcentral lists this ribosomal RNA (253 nucleotides) under uncultured bacterium. RNAcentral describes it as "partial 16S ribosomal RNA". It matches the Rfam family "Bacterial small subunit ribosomal RNA", at positions 524 to 776 of the family's 1533-position model. The record is from RNAcentral.
GACGUAGGGCGCGAGCGUUGUCCGGAUUUAUUGGGCGUAAAGAGCUCGUAGGCGGCUUGUUGCGUCGACUGUGAAAACCCGCGGCUUAACUGCGGGCUUGCAGUUGAUACGGGCAGGCUAGAGUUCGGUAGGGGAGACUGGAAUUCCUGGUGUAGCGGUGAAAUGCGCAGAUAUCGGGAGGAACACCGGUGGCGAAGGCGGUUCUCUGGGCCUUACCUGACGCUGAGGAGCGAAAGCGUGGGGAGCGAACAGG